This is a non-coding RNA of Meleagris gallopavo (turkey), 5967 nucleotides long. The record is from RefSeq and is a predicted model, not a curated record. NCBI's taxonomy places the organism in Eukaryota, Metazoa, Chordata, Aves, Galliformes, Phasianidae.
CCCCUCUACUUCCUGUUCAGUGGUGGUGGGUUGCUGGGGGAAAACAUCUGCAGCAGUAGGAGAUUCAGAGUCUGUAACAGGAGGGAUGGUAUCUGAGCCUUGUACUUUAGAAGGCUGCAGUAAUCCCCAGCUCAUUACAGCUGGGCUGGUGCAGUGGGAAAUUGGGACAGAUGUUGGACAGAUGGUGACCCUCUGCUGUUGGGAUCACUGCUGCUGGUUGGUAUAAAGAUGUGGUUUUUUGGUUUUUAUUUUUUUAAUAUUAGAGUAGGCCAUGAUGCUUCUUUACCAGGAUGGAGAAGCAUCUCUUCUGCUCUUCUUUGUUAACAAAUAUUGGGAUUUGAUCAUCCUAGCAGUCUGGUCAUCAGUCCCAUAAACCAGUACUAAUACCAGCACUGGUACUGUGCCCCACAGAGGGGUUUGGGUUGGCCCUGGGGUCUGUGACCACUGGCUGGGUUUUGCUGAUGGGUGGCAAAGCCCCUACCUGGCAGCAAGGGGCUGUAUGAGGAUGCUACUGUCCUGCUCAACUGCAGAAAAGAGGACUGGCUCAGAGAUGGGAGAUUUUAGUGAGUGAAAAAGCAUCCUGGAGAGAUGAAGGACCGGUGGGUUUUGGGGAGUUCAUUGUUUUAAUGGCAGCAGCGUUACAGGAUUGCAUGUGCUCAGUCUGCCCUGCAUUGAGCUGCUCUAUUGAUCAUCGCUUUGAUUCCUGCUGGUUUAUUUACUUGCUUGAUAAUAAUUUGCUUAAUAAAGCCUUGCUAGAGUGAUUACAGAGUCCCAAAACCUUUUGAUUUCCAAUUUCAUUCCCAGCUCCAAAGUCACUGGAAUUUCUAUGUUCCCUUGGAGGGAUGGCCUGGGGUUCACUUUGCAUGAAUCAGGGUUACAUGAGCUGACCCAUGGCUGAUUCAUCGACAGGUGUUGUCAGCAAAGGCCUCUCUCUUUCUGUGCAGCUUCCCUUUGUGUCAAAGCAUACCACGCUGAAAUGAAAGUGGGAUCUUCAUCAAAGAGCACAGCCUGUCUUUGGGUGUGAUUUCUUCGUGGGAACAAACGCUGCCUGAUACAUGUAGACAUGUACCGGGAGUUAUCAAAGCUCCCAGAAUCGUUGCUCUUAGUACUAGCAGUGUGUAUGCCAUUCUUCCUGCAGCAAAGGGAAGCUCAAAGGAAGGCAGCAGGUUUGCUGCUUGUCCCAGUGCAGCACAGUGCAGCACUGUGCAGGUCCUGAAUGACACAGAAUUCCUACAAACCUGGUGCUCUCCUCCCCACGGUCCAGGCUGAGAGCUGACGUUCACAUUCCGUGCUGCUCAUGGGCUCUGUUUCAUGGAUGGCCUGCUGUUUGCAGGUUCUCUUUGAGGAAGUGUGCACAUCAGAGAGAUGGGAUGGUGCUGUCGCUGUUACCUGCCUCACCCCAGAGCUUCAGGUUCUCCAGAUGGAAGGAGGAACUUUCCAGUCUAAAGACAUCUGUCAUAGCUGUCUCCACAUGCUUCAUAUCCUUCUGCAGGCAUUAAGAGCUGCAGGAUUGCUUUGAGCACGGCAGAAGCACUGGGAUGCUGUCCCACUCCCAACCUCCUUCCUGACCCAGAGAACAGGGCUGGCUUCUCUGGCUCUGCCUGAAGCCAUUCCCCCAGAAAUAUUUUGUUUUGUGCCUGGAGUGUUUCAUUUCCUUUUAUUUGUUAAUUUUCUGUUAAAGGAGAGAUUGGACUCUUUCAAACAAGACUGGAAUACAACCUCUGCGCAUUAUGGAGAGUUGUCACAGGGCUCACAAAGGGAGAGAGAGGAAAUAUCUGCAGCAGUGCAGCUUGACAGGAACAGGAAGAUCGAGCAUGAAGACAAAGCUACUGGGGGAGAGGGCUGCAGAGAUCUCAGUGAUGUGCUGCCUAGUGAGGGCCAUAAGGUGAGGAUCACCCUGCACAGGUCGUGCUGGGCUCAGCCAGCCUGAGAGGACAGCAGUGAUGUCCCCACAUUGCUAUGAAGAGGCACAAGCCCUCAGGACCACAGAUGAGAUGUCUUCUGGAGGUUUGCAUGCAUCUCCAGGCUCCAGUCACCUUGACGAGCUUCGCCUGGACAUGUUCCCUCUCACCCCACAUCUCCAGUCCCUGUGCUGCAUUUAAGCUCAGGCUCCAAGCACUAUUCCCCUGGCUGGACCGUGCCUGCUCAUGGCUUUCUGUUUGUCCUUGGAUUUGCUUCAUCACUUUGACUGCUUCUCCUUGUUCUGGUCCUGCCCUUUGUCGCUAGCGAUGCUGCUGCCCACCUUGCUUCCUGGCUUCCUUGCAGUUGCUUCUCAAUGCUGUGUCCCCAGGUAGGUCAGGCUAUUUCACUUUCCUUGCCUCUGAGUGUGAAGGAGUUGGUUGCUCGUCCCCAUUCAUCCUACCAGUGUGUGCCAGGCUGCUGUGGGAUUAGGAGCUGAUUUUCAAUGCUCAGAGUGAAAUGCUGCUUCCUGCUGCUGGCAGAGCUUUGAAGUGCUGUAGACUGCCUGUGACAUACUCAGCAGCGUGGCUUCAGGUGGGGACGUGGGGCCGGGAUGUGUCAUGGGAAAAGAUCUGAGGAGGCACAGAAAUAGAAAUAAGGAUAAAGAAGAGAGGUAAGGAGAACUGGAGGCAGCUGAUGGAGAACUGCACUAAGGUGAGGAGAAGCCAGCACAGCAGCUGCUCAGUGCACCUGGUAACAAAGCAUGUUUAAUGAGGUGCUGCUAACCUAGGGUUGGCUUCUUUAAGUAAAUGUUGCAAUGAUCUGUGGGAAACUGCUCUGUUAGGCAUCCAGAUUUGGUGCUGGUGCUUUUAGUUGGGAUGCUGAGGUGUUUUUUGGUGAAAGAUGCUGUGGUUCGCAUGGGUGCAUCCAGGGGCAGAGCGAUGCUUUUACCCAGCCCUGAGAGUUCUGAGGCCUUGCAGUGAGCUCAGGGCAACGUUCUGCUCUGCACACCCACGCAGCUCUCUUCUGUUUCACCCAUGGCUUUGAGAACUGCUAGAGCAGCCUUAAUAAAGAUGGUGAAAGAGAGAAGGUGUAAAAAAACAGUUUAAACAAUUUCUGCAUAGCUUGCUCUAUUUUUAGUCCCAAUUUGAGGAAUGAAUGUAGGUCAAAAAUGGGGGAGUUUGCAUUUUUCUUGUUGUGUAGCAAACAUCAAGGGAAUUCUGGAGAAGUGGAACAGCCCUGGAAAGGACGAUAGGUCUACCAAGCACAGAGCUUCUGCCUGAGGAGUGGGGUCGUUGGGGGGUGGGCAGGGAGGAGUGAGAUACCAGGGGGAUCUCUCAGGUGGGGGAUACCCUUUAACAUACAGACUGUGUGCUCCUGGGUCUUCCAUGCAGGUGCAGAGCUGGGGUCAAGCUGGUACCUCUCCUGGGUGUGAAGGCAGCCUGGGAGGUGGCUCUUCAAUGGUUAAGGAAGAGCAACAGCCUUCCCAGUAUGCAAGAGUGUUAUAUUCCUUAUUAUAGCAGUUAGAGAAGUUAUAAUUUAACUUGCACUUAACAACAAUGAAAAAAAAAAAGCCCCCUAGAAUGGAACUAGACUUGAUCCUUUUUUCAGCAUAUUAUUACUUGGAGCAUACGGCUGCUUGCUACAGAGUGAUAGAAAUCCCCAGCAGAGUUAAGUAAGUGCUAAGUGGUAUGCCUGGGGCAGGAAGCACCGAAGUCUCUUCUCAAUGUUGGAGGUGGGCUUGGGUUCCCAGCAGGGCUCCGGCUGGUGUGGUCCUUCCCAUCUGCAGGGCAGUGGAAGAGAUCCUCAGUGUGCACCAAGCUGGUGAGAUGUCUGCUGAAUGCAUGGGGAAAUUCCCACCUGGUGGAUACAGAACUAGAAGCUGGUGUUUGGUUCCUUUGCCACAGAUUUCUGCUCCCCAGGGAAGUGUUUGAAGGCUGGGUUUGUGCUGAGAAAAGGAGUACAGAGUGGGAAGAUGAGUUACUCUGCAAUGGGCCUGGAGCUUGACCUAGCCCCAGUGCAGCCUCAGCUGGGUUUAGAAGUUUUACAUCAGGUUUUCUGGAUGUUGGGGUCCUCUGGAGAGAAGGAGCAGCACUGGUACUGUGGUGAAGGAGAGCAGUUGUACGGAGGGCAUCUGUGCUUUGAUCAAGAGGAGCUGAGGAUGAGGAUCCUCCUCUGCAGCACCAUAAAGGCGUUCCCCUUGGAGGCAGGCUCAGGUUGGAUGGUCUCUUUGUUCUCGCUGCAUGAAACUGAGCCUGGAUGGCUCAGUGUGCUCUGAGCUAUGCCCCCAGCAGCCCCCAUCCCACCUCACCCCACCCUGCGAAGAACCAUCUGACAAAACAACUUGUGCUCGUUGCCUUCAAGACGCGCUGCUCAUUCUUCUGUCUUUUCAGGCGUAUGCAAAUGUAAUUAAUAAGUUCUAAAUGAAUCCUCAGCACGCAGGGGAGCAAAAAGACAGCACCUUCCCCCCCAUCUCCCCAGGUCCUUGCUCCACUUAAUGAUGGUGCAGACUAAUAGGGCUGUGAGGAAGCGUUUAGAGUCCUGCCGUGCCAUUAGGAGGGCGUGCAGCAGCUCUCCAUGUGCUGGGAUAAUUGCGGUGCUGGCAGCUCUCGGCCAUCACAGCAGGAGCAGUACCUGCAAGGAUCCCCUCGGCUUGCUUGGGCUUCAGAAAAUGUCACUGCUGUGCCACUGUGGAGCUGAGUGUCCCUCCAGCCUUUUCCCUGCUGAGAUUUCUCGGUGGUGGCUGGUGAGGGGUUGUCAAAGGUCCCAGCUGGAAUUGUGUGCCAGGAAGCCAAAGAAUGGGAUUGUAUUUUUCUUAAAAAGAAAACCAUUUGAUGGCCACCUCUCCUAGCAGGUGUGCUGUGUGCUGCUCCCAGGUUCUGCUGCAUUUUGGCUCCCUGCUCCUGACACUGCUGUGCCUGGUGCCUCUGGGAUGGGAAGUGGACAUAUUAAGUUUGGUGGGAGGCUUUAAGAGCAGCAGGAUUAAGUGUUGCUGCUUAGUCUUGUUUGCCUGUGACCACUUAACAACAUUUAUGCACUGGGAGGAAACAAGUUGAGUUCCCUGCGUGUGCAAAUCACGUUUCAUUAUGCACUGACCUUCUUCAGUGGCUUUUAGGAGCCUCAAAGCAUCUGGUGAGGGGAGAUGUGUGGCUGUGAUGGUGCAGAGUGGCACUGCAGGGGCCACCCCAGCCUGCUCCCAUGGAGCUGGGUGAAACCACGCUCUGAGCAUGCAGCAGCCCAGUGCUGUGUUGCACAGAGAGCUGCUUGCACAGCCCAAACAAGAGUGAGGUGUUUCCUCACUAACGCUUCCUGUAAGAAUGCUUGCUCUUGAACCACCCAACACGUUGCUUCUCGUUGAAGGAGCAAACAUACCUGUCAGUGUCUGUGCACAGUGUUGUCUCAGACACUUCCCCUCUUCCUUUGAAUACUCACUCUUGCUCUCACCAAAUGCAUUGCUUCCUAUUGAAGAGGCAAAUACAGAUGGCACUGCUCACAUGUAGUGUGGUCUCAGUGCAUCCUUCCAGCAUUUUGUACAGAUACUCCAACAACACUGAGGUCUGUGCUCAUGGGUGCUCUGUGCAGGUGUCCCACUCUCUGGCCACCAACGGCUAACCAAGUGCUCGGUGCUGCUAAUGGCACAUGCCUGCUGAUAGCAGAAAGCAAUGGCUUGAUUUUUCUUUUAGACUCAGCUAGAGCAAGACUAAUGGAAAAAUCAAUGUGUGUACUGUAAAUUCUGUGUAGUUAAUACAUACAAUAUUUUAAAAGUACCAAAUAAUAGAAAAGCAAGUAGGGUAAAAAGACAGUAAUUGAUGGAUUGCCUUUGAGUUUUGUAGAGAGAAUAAUUGUGUGUGUAACUCUAAGAUGAGGCACUUAGCAAGCUGACAUCCUGUUCUGCAACUCUCCCAACCAUUUAGUCAUGAAAAUCACUGUUUUCAAUGUACCUGGAAAGCUGUACCAGAGAAUAGAGCAGCACAUUCAUUAGAGUCUUGAAGGUGUGUUGUACCUGAGUUGUGGCUGAAGAAGCUGCAGAUGUGACUUAUAAAAUGCCAACCUGGUGUUUUGUGGUGU